GCUGCGGUGUCCGAGUGGUUAAGGAGAUGGACCUGAAAUUCAUUGGGCUCUGCCCGCGCAGGUUCGAAUCCUGUCCGCAGCG
RNAcentral lists this transfer RNA (82 nucleotides) under Thrips palmi. RNAcentral's name for it is "tRNA-Ser". It matches the Rfam family "tRNA". Rfam says of the family: Transfer RNA (tRNA) molecules are approximately 80 nucleotides in length. Their secondary structure includes four short double-helical elements and three loops (D, anti-codon, and T loops). Lineage: Eukaryota; Metazoa; Arthropoda; Insecta; Thysanoptera; Thripidae. The record is from Rfam by way of RNAcentral.